RNAcentral lists this ribosomal RNA (253 nucleotides) under uncultured bacterium. RNAcentral describes it as "partial 16S ribosomal RNA". It matches the Rfam family "Bacterial small subunit ribosomal RNA", at positions 524 to 776 of the family's 1533-position model. The record is from RNAcentral.
UACAGAGGUCCCAAGCGUUGUUCGGAUUUAUUGGGCGUAAAGGGUGCGUAGGUGGCAAAGUAAGUUGGAUGUGAAAUCCUGGGGCUCAACCUCAGAAUUGCAUUCAAUACUGCUUAGCUAGAGAGCUGUAGAGGAGACUGGAAUUUACGGUGUAGCAGUGAAAUGCGUAGAUAUCGUAAGGAACGCCAGUGGCGAAAGCGAGUCUCUGGGCAGCAUCUGACACUGAGGCACGAAGGCCAGGGGAGCAAACGGG